GUUAUUAUACUGAUGCAGAUACCACUGAUCCUAUAACCAUCCCUCCUCUGGCUAUAUCCAUGAGCCAGUGUCACUACUGUGUCAUUAUAUAGUGCUGGGUGUUAUUAUACUGAUGCAGAUACCACUGAUCCUAUAACCAGCCCUCCUCUGGCAAUACCCAUGUGCCAGUGUCACUACUGUGUCGUUAUCUAGUGCUGGGUGUUAUUAUACUGAUGCAGAUACCACUGACCCUAUAACCAGCCCUCCUCUGGCAAUACCCAUGAGCCAGUGUCACUACUGUGUCAUUAUAUAGUGCUGGGUGUUAUUAUACUGAUGCAGAUACCACUGAUUCUAGAACCAGUCCUCCUCUGGCUAUACCCAUGUGCCAGUGUCACUACUGUGUCAUUAUAUAGCGCUGGGUGUUAUUAUACUGAUGCAUGUACCACUGACCCUAUAACCAGCCCUUGUCUUGCUAUACUCAUGUGCCAGUGUCACUACUGUGUCAUUAUAUAGUGCUGGGUGUUAUUAUACUGAUGCAGAUACCACUGACCCUAUAACCAGCCCUUGUCUGGCUAUACCCAUGUGCCAGUGUCACUACCGUGUCAUUAUAUAGCGCUGGGUGUUAUUAUACUGAUGCAUGUACCACUGACCCUAUAACCAGCCCUUGUCUGGCUAUACGCAUGUGCCAGUGUCACUACUGUGUCAUUAUAUAGUGCUGGGUGUUAUUAUACUGAUGCAGAUACCACUGACCCUAUAACCAGCCCUUGUCUGGCUAUACGCAUGUGCCAGUGUCACUACUGUGUCAUUAUAUAGCGCUGGGUGUUAUUAUACUGAUGCAGAUACCACUGACCCUAUAACCAGCCCUUGUCUGGCUAUACCCAUGUGCCAGUGUCACUACUGUGUCUUUGUAUAGUGCUGGGUGUUAUUAUACAGAUGCAGAUACACAUCCAGUAUUUCACUCAGGCUUUAUUUAUUCCAUAACUUAUCACCCAAUAUCACUAGCUGUCUCUUGACAAGCCACUAACUUUAUUCACACUAGAUAUUUUUUUUUAUUCCUAUUAUUUAAUCAGAAAGAAAAUAUAUACUAAGUUUGUGGCGGGCACUGCAAGGGCUAGUCAUGGACGCCAGUGUCCGUGUACAGACACCUUGCCUAUCCCUAGCCGCCCUAUCCCUAUAUUGUAGCUAUCUUAGGGUUUAUUUUACAGGUAUGUAUUUAGUUUUAAAUAGGAAUUAUUUAGUUAAUGAUAGUAAGUUUUAUUUAGAUUUAUUUUAAUUAUAUUAAAGUUAGUGGGUGUUAGGGUUAGACUUAGGGUUAGGUUUAGGGAUUAAUAACUUUAGUAUAGUGGCGGCGACAUUGGGUGCGGCAGAUUAGGGGUUAAUAAGUGUAGGUAGGUGGCGGCGAUGUCGGGGCGGCAGAUUAGGGGUUAAUAAUUGUAAUGUAGGUGGCGGCGACAUUGGGGGUGGCAGAUUAGGGGUUAAUAAGUGUAAUGUAGGUGGCGGCGACGUUGGGGGCGGCAGAUUAGGGGGCAUAUCUAUCAAGCUCUGAAUGGAUCUUGAGGCCCCGUGUUUCUGGCGAGCCUGCAGGCUCACCAGAAACACCAGUUAUGAAGCAGCGGUCUAAAGAUGAGGCGGACAGGAAUCGCCGGAAUUCAACCCGAUCGAGUACGAUUAGGUUGAUUGACACCCCUCUGCUGGCAGCCGAUUGGCCGCGAGUCUGCAGGGGGCGGCAUUGCACCAGCAGCUCUUGUGAGCUGCUGGUGCAAUGCUGAAUACGGAGAGCAUAUUGCUCUCUGCAUUCAGCGAUGUCUGUCGGAUCAGGUUCGACAGACAUAUGAUAAAUAGGCCUCUAGGGGUUAAUAAGUGUAAUGUAGGUGUCGGCGAUGUUGGGGGCAGAAGAUUAGGGGUGUUUAGACUCGGGGUUUAUGUUAGGGUGUUAGGUGUAAACAUAACUUUUCUUUCCCCAUAGGAAUCAAUGGGGCUGCGUUACGGAGCUUUACGCUCCUUUAUUGCAGGUGUUAGGCUUUUUUUUAGCCAGCUACCCCCAUUGAUGUCUAUGGGGAAAUCGUGCACGAGCACGUAAAACCAGCUCAAAGCAGCGCUGGUAUUUGGGUGCGGUAUGGAGCUCAAUGGAGCUCAACGCUGCCAUAUUGCCUGCUAACGCGGGUUUAUGCAAACCUGUAAUAACAGCGCUAUAGGGAGGUGAGUGGUUGAAAUAACUUGCAAGUUAGCACCGAGCCGCGCAAAACGCAAAACUCGUAAUCUAGCCGUUUGUUAAUUGUGGUAACACAAUUGUUUUAAAUGCUUUAUAACGUAUAUUUUGUGCUCAGAUUUUUUGCAAUUCUGUUCUUAAUUGCUGAUGUAUACUAUCCAUAUAAAACUGUUGAUUUUAUUUCUCUUUAACUGGUGUAGAAUAACAGCUCAAAAAAUAAGACACAUUUUGUAAAGUGCUUUGGAAAUUUAGGCUGGUAAUUUUUCUUUUCUUUAAAUACUAAACAUUUUAUAUACAAAUCUCAAGGUGUUUACUGUCCCUUUUAAAUGCUACAAUCUUUGGAACAAACCUAUUUAAUUUUGGAUCAAGAAUUUUUAUCCCUAACAGACACAACCAAGCUACAGUUUCUUCUUACAACACUUUUCAUCUUCCACAAAACGCUAAAAGUUGAUAUUUUUAAAUUGGCUUAAAGGGAGAUAAAACAGUAUGAACUAACAAAAGUUAGUUUACCUGCGAAACGAUUUCAGUUUUCACCCCCCUGUUUAACCCCUUUAAUUCAGGCAUAGUUUUUUUUGCAGCAAGCUUCCCCCUGGGUAUUUCCAUAUUUGGAAGGUGCUAUACAGGCCAUAGCUUCUGCAGAAUGCACACGUGCACGGUAGGGGGCAGAGUUACGUGACAAAAGUAGUGCAUAUUAUAAUGCUGAAGCUUUCACAAAGCAUGUGACAUUCUCCCCAUGUAAACAAGCAAGCCUCUUGGCAACAAGCAGUAACAGUACUUUCUGUCCCUCCUCAACCCCCCCCCCUUGCUUGCAUAAGUAAUUAUCCUCACAUACACAUUUUGUUAUAUGAUACCACAAGGUGUUAGUAAUUUUGCAGAUUUUUGGAAAUUUUAUUAAAAUGCUUAUAAGCUUUGUUUUUCUUCUCUUUUUUUUUUUACUCUUUUUUUUCACACACUGUUUUACCUCAAUUGACCCUUUUAUAAUAUGCACAUGACUCAAAUGUUUUAUGGCACUUUAACUAUCAUUUUAAAGUAACAUUUAACAUUUAGAGAUUGUAAAAUGUCUAUUUAUAUGGGGUUAAAAACUUUGCAAUAUACUUUCAUUAUUUUGUCCCCUUUAAUUUAAUUCUGAAAAUUGUGGGAUUUCCAAUUUCUGUUAUAAAGUGGAAGACUCCGGAUAUAACACUGCUAUAUUCCACACAGUCAUUGGCUGAAUACUCUAGCGACCUAUUUAUAGCUAUCCCUGAUUGGGAUCAACAGAGAAAAAAACCAAGGUUACAACACUGUAGUACUUAUUGCUUUCUGGCUGCUAACAUUUUACACCCUUUAUUUUUAAUAUGAAAACAACAAAUAUAAUUUAAAAAGAUACAUCUUUGUAUUAAUUUGCAGCUAAUCUUUGCUUUGAAUAUAUCCUAUCUAACAUAUCAUUUGUGUUUAAUGUAAUUUUAUUAAAUGGUAAAAUGUGUUAAUUUUUUUUAUUAAAAUUUUACUUUUGUAAA
Molecule: long non-coding RNA, 3684 nt
Organism: Bombina bombina (fire-bellied toad)
Lineage: Eukaryota; Metazoa; Chordata; Amphibia; Anura; Bombinatoridae
Exons: 2
Source: RefSeq, a predicted model, not a curated record